This 467-nucleotide ribosomal RNA is filed under the name uncultured bacterium. Its description in RNAcentral is "partial 16S ribosomal RNA". It matches the Rfam family "Bacterial small subunit ribosomal RNA", at positions 28 to 507 of the family's 1533-position model. The record is from RNAcentral.
GACGAACGCUGGCGGCGUGCUUAACACAUGCAAGUCGAACGGAAAGGCCCUGCUUUUGUGGGGUGCUCGAGUGGCGAACGGGUGAGUAACACGUGAGUAACCUGCCCUUGACUUUGGGAUAACUUCAGGAAACUGGGGCUAAUACCGGAUAGGCGCUCCUGCUGCAUGGUGGGGGUUGGAAAGUUUCGGCGGUUGGGGAUGGACCCGCGGCUUAUCAGCUUGUUGGUGGGGUAGUGGCUUACCAAGGCUUUGACGGGUAGCCGGCCUGAGAGGGUGACCGGCCACAUUGGAACUGAGAUACGGCCCAGACUCCUACGGGGGGCAGCAGUGGGAAUAUUGCACAAUGGGCGGAAGCCUGAUGCAGCAACGCCGCGUGCGGGAUGACGGCCUUCGGGUUGUAAACCGCUUUCGCCUGUGACGAAGCGUGAGUGACGGUAAUGGGUAAAGAAGCACCGGCUAACUACGUG